AUGAAGGCCAAGGCUUCUCGACCCCAAGCACACUUCUCGAAGACCAAGCUCCAAGAAGGCGAGCAUGAGGAUAGUACCACCAAGAUGUCCAAGCCCGACAAGCUCCAAGAUGAUGCUCCCAAGUUCGACUUCACCGCCAUCCCUCUUUGUGGCAUUAAUGAUGCCGAGUCUACUUUGACUCUUUUUCAAGAUGGUGUGUCGACAAGUAUGACUAUGGAGACCCUCAAGGACCAAGCUUUGGAGGCAAGUGGCGAGGUGGCGAGCAAGGAUGAUGCUUCCAUUUUUGGAGGCGAGAGUGAUGAUGUGCCAUCUUCGGCCUUCAUCCACGGCGACGACGACGAGAUGGUUGAGCAUGGGAUUUUCCCUUCGACCACGGCGACGUAUGAUGACUUAAGUGACUUUUGCCACCAUAUUGAGAGUGAGAGUGACUUCACCACUAGCCCCAUAUAUGAUGUGUUUCCACAAUUCCUAUGUGAGGAGAGCCACAACCCCACCUCUUGA
Molecule: ribosomal RNA, 501 nt
Filed under: Triticum aestivum (bread wheat)
Lineage: Eukaryota; Viridiplantae; Streptophyta; Magnoliopsida; Poales; Poaceae
Description: partial small subunit ribosomal RNA
Source: RNAcentral